GCAAGUUUUGCUUCCUUUGCUGGUCAAAAUUAGCCCUUCUCCCUUUUUUCGCCAAACUCUAGACAUCCCAGUGGUUGCCGCGGUCCUCAUUGGAUUGAACAUGUGUAUAAACGAUACACCAUCCAUAUAGAACGACACUUCAUUCGUCCAAAAGCUUCCGUUUCCUUUCAUGAACUUCUUCACUUUUCUACAAAAUCGUCGUCUCAGUACCCUAUCUCGGUCUGACAGAAUACCUUUCUCCGUCUUUGGGGGAAACCAUAGCCAUUCAAAUUUAGAAUACGUGAAACUGUCCGUCGACUAACAGCGUCUAAACUGAGACCGUUUCCAUUACUAGGGACUUAACGGAAACAUUCUGUUCACGCAAUCGCAGGACUUUUAGCGUUCUUAUCAAAGAUCGUAAUUUUCUUGAGUUGAGCUUUCGUGGCCUUCCCUUUUUCUUGCAUAUUUUUUGUAUUUUUCUCGUUUAUUUGCAUACUGCAUAUUCUGUGACUUGACGAUUUUGAAAUAUUGUACUCUUUUGCAAUAUCGCUAUAUGAAGCAUUGUAUUUUACCCUUAAUAAGUGGGCAUAAGCUUUUUGAACUGGUGUGAUUUUUUGCCUGGCAUCCUUGUGUAGGCAACUGUGUUCUCAAUCACUUAAGUCAUGAAUCAGUUUUUAAUGUGGUUGUCGAGUACGUGUUAAUCAGAUUACAUCAAUGCACGACUUCAUAAAUGAUGGCACUUAGACUAAAUGCAGACGAAAUAGAAACUUUUCUUGUUCACAUUACUUGCGCAAAUAAUUCUCAAUUAUCUAAACACACUCGUUUAAUUUCAAUCUAAAAUCGUAUAAUCGUAUAAUCGCCCUAUUUUAAGAAUAACUGGAAUAUAUAUUUAAAAACAGAUAUUUCAUAGGAGUAUGGUCUUAUUUACACAAAAGCGAUUGAACUUUGAUUGUAC
This is a non-coding RNA of Paramuricea clavata, 934 nucleotides long. The record is from the annotation of a GenBank genome assembly. NCBI's taxonomy places the organism in Eukaryota, Metazoa, Cnidaria, Anthozoa, Malacalcyonacea, Plexauridae.